This 439-nucleotide ribosomal RNA is filed under the name uncultured Bradyrhizobium sp. RNAcentral's name for it is "bacterial SSU rRNA". It matches the Rfam family "Bacterial small subunit ribosomal RNA", at positions 1 to 471 of the family's 1533-position model. The record is from RNAcentral. Lineage: Bacteria; Pseudomonadati; Pseudomonadota; Alphaproteobacteria; Hyphomicrobiales; Nitrobacteraceae.
UUUUGUUUGAUUCCUGGCUCAGRGCGAACGCUGGCGGCAGGCUUAACACAUGCAAGUCGAGCGGGCAUAGCAAUAUGUCAGCGGCAGACGGGUGAGUAACGCGUGGGAACGUACCUUUUGGUUCGGAACAACUGAGGGAAACUUCAGCUAAUACCGGAUAAGCCCUUACGGGGAAAGAUUUAUCGCCGAAAGAUCGGCCCGCGUCUGAUUAGCUAGUUGGUGAGGUAAUGGCUCACCAAGGCGACGAUCAGUAGCUGGUCUGAGAGGAUGAUCAGCCACAUUGGGACUGAGACACGGCCCAAACUCCUACGGGAGGCAGCAGUGGGGAAUAUUGGACAAUGGGCGCAAGCCUGAUCCAGCCAUGCCGCRUGRGUGAUGAAGGCCCUAGGGUUGUAAAKCUCUUUUGUGCGGGAAGAUAAUGACGUACCGCWWGWUWCGC